UACGGAGGGUGCAAGCGUUAUCCGGAUUCACUGGGUUUAAAGGGUGCGUAGGAGGACAGGUAAGUCAGUGGUGAAAUCUCCGAGCUUAACUUGGAAACUGCCGUUGAUACUAUCUGCCUUGAAUAUUGUGGAGGUGAGCGGAAUAUGUCAUGUAGCGGUGAAAUGCUUAGAUAUGACAUAGAACACCAAUUGCGAAGGCAGCUUACUACCCGAAUAUUGACACUGAGGCACGAAAGCGUGGGGAUCAAACAGG
RNAcentral lists this ribosomal RNA (253 nucleotides) under uncultured bacterium. RNAcentral's name for it is "partial 16S ribosomal RNA". It matches the Rfam family "Bacterial small subunit ribosomal RNA", at positions 524 to 776 of the family's 1533-position model. The record is from RNAcentral.